RNAcentral lists this ribosomal RNA (260 nucleotides) under uncultured bacterium. RNAcentral's name for it is "partial 16S ribosomal RNA". It matches the Rfam family "Bacterial small subunit ribosomal RNA", at positions 523 to 771 of the family's 1533-position model. The record is from RNAcentral.
UGACGGAGGGGGCUAGCGUUUGUUUCGGGAAUUACUGGGCGGUAAAGCGGCACGUAGGCGGCUUUGAUAAUGUUAGAGGUAGAAAAGCCCGGGGCUCAACUCCGGAAUUGCCUUUAGACUGCGAUCGCUAGAAUUGUGGAAGAGGUAAGCGGAAUUCCUGGUGUAGCGGUGAAAUGCGUAGAUAUCAGGAGGAACACCGGCGGUGUAGACGGCUUUCUGGACCGUAGCUGACGCUGGAGACACGAAAGCGUGGGUAGCAA